GAUGAAGAACGCAGCGAAAUGCGAUACUUGGUGUGAAUUGCAGAAUCCCGUGAACCAUCGAGUCUUUGAACGCAAGUUGCGCCCGAAGCCACUAGGCCGAGGGCACGCCUGCCUGGGCGUCACACGUCGUUGCCCCCCACCAUCUACUCCUUCGGGAUUGCGGGGGGCGGAUGAUGGCCUCCCGUGCGCCUAGCCGCGCGGUUGGCAUAAAUACCAAGUCCUCGGCGACGCACGCCACGACAAUCGGUGGUUGCGAAACCUCGGUUGCCCGUCGUGUGCGUUCGUCGCGCAUCGAGGGCUCGAAAAAAUGCUCGGCUCCGGCUCGGCUUUCAACGCGCCCCCAGGUCAGGCGGGGUUACCCGCUGAAUUUAAGCAUAUCAAUAAGCGGAGGA
This 392-nucleotide unclassified non-coding RNA is filed under the name soil metagenome. RNAcentral describes it as "partial contains 5.8S ribosomal RNA, internal transcribed spacer 2, and large subunit ribosomal RNA". The stretch from base 1 to 122 matches the Rfam family "5.8S ribosomal RNA", at positions 35 to 154 of the family's 154-position model. The record is from RNAcentral.